This is a long non-coding RNA of Gymnodraco acuticeps, 1163 nucleotides long. RefSeq lists it as uncharacterized. The record is from RefSeq and is a predicted model, not a curated record. NCBI's taxonomy places the organism in Eukaryota, Metazoa, Chordata, Actinopteri, Perciformes, Bathydraconidae. The transcript has 4 exons.
AAUCUAUUGUCAUGCCUCUGUGCAAGGCUUAGUCUUUCUAUCUUUAUGGCAUCUGGUGUAAAGUAACUAAAUUCAUAAACUCAAGUACUAUAGCCUACACUCUAAAAAAUGCUGGGUUAUUUCUAUAAACACAUUGCUGGGUUGAUUUGUCUGGGUCAUAAUUAUGGGUUAUUUGGGUACUGUAAACACACUGGUGGGUUGUUCAUGCUGGGUCAAAGGGGUUAUUAGGGCUUCAAUUGCAGUUGAACACCUGCCUGGGUUAUUUUUAACCCAGAGGUUGCUUUAUUCAUUUUCCCACUUCUGAAUCAUUCUGGAACCAUCUUUUUGUCAUUUCUCACAACACAAGGGAACCUAUAUUUUAUCUAUAUUUAUAUAAUUAUACAAUUCUGUAACUUGUUGAAUCACUAGUAACUAGGUGAUUUUGAAAAACCACUACAACCACAACAGUGAUUUUGCAAAACCACUAAUCAGCCAGUGAUUUCACAGAAUCACCAGUGUUCUUGCACACUGCUUCUGAAAGAAAAUGGGUUGUUUUAACUCAAACAUUUAAAAAAGUUAAUUCACCGCUAAUUUUCUGAUGACUAUGAACUGAUUUUUAAUAUUGUGUAUACAGUGUUCAACCACUUAGGGUCAUAUUGGUAAUAGUACUCAAACAUUUUUACUGAAUCUGUCUGACGCUGGUCUGACGUCAUCACGUAUGUGCUCCGCCCCCGACGUGCCUAGACGCCCAUGCCUUCACCAGAGUCCGCCAUUAGCCCCUCGCCUCUGUUGAAGUCGCUCAGACUUUUAAGAAUACUUUGCCCACCGUGCCGGAAUCGUGAUCUUUUUUUUUGGCCGCACUACUCUGGAAACUGACGCAACUGGCAGAUAUAUGGCUUCUUCAAUCUGUUAAUGCAGACUACCUUUGCCCUGCGGCGCAAUGAGAUCAUCAAUGAUGAGCUACCUGUUGGAGAGAUCCUGGAACGCUGGCCUGCCUUGAAAAUGGAGUCACAGAGUUUCACAGGAUAACAAACCUCAACCUGAAGAACCACUUCUAUGCGGACAGGGCUCGACAUUAAGGACUGCCCGAUGGCCCGGGGCCAUCUAGUAUUUAGCUCGGGCAAUGAAGCCUGACCUGCUGGUUGCCCGAUCGGGCAAUCUAUUGUGCCAGUAUCAUGCAGCUU